Molecule: ribosomal RNA, 245 nt
Filed under: uncultured bacterium
Lineage: Bacteria
Description: partial 16S ribosomal RNA
Rfam family: Bacterial small subunit ribosomal RNA
Source: RNAcentral
GCAAGUCGAGCGAGAAAUUUUCUUCGGAAAAGAGUAAAGCGGCGGACGGGUGAGUAACGCGUAGGAAUCUACCUAGUAGUGGGGGACAACAUGUGGAAACGCAUGCUAAUACCGCAUACGCCCCAAGGGGGAAAGCGGGGGAUCUUCGGACCUCGCGCUAUUGGAUGAGCCUGCGUAGGAUUAGCUUGUUGGUGAGGUAAAAGCUCACCAAGGCGACGAUCCUUAGCUGGUCUGAGAGGAUGAUC